RNAcentral lists this ribosomal RNA (251 nucleotides) under Shewanella sp. RNAcentral's name for it is "partial 16S ribosomal RNA". It matches the Rfam family "Bacterial small subunit ribosomal RNA", at positions 1094 to 1344 of the family's 1533-position model. Lineage: Bacteria; Pseudomonadati; Pseudomonadota; Gammaproteobacteria; Alteromonadales; Shewanellaceae. The record is from RNAcentral.
GAGCGCAACCCCUAUCCUUAUUUGCCAGCACGUAAUGGUGGGAACUUUAGGGAGACUGCCGGUGAUAAACCGGAGGAAGGUGGGGACGACGUCAAGUCAUCAUGGCCCUUACGAGUAGGGCUACACACGUGCUACAAUGGCGUAUACAGAGGGUUGCAAAGCCGCGAGGUGGAGCUAAUCUCACAAAGUACGUCGUAGUCCGGAUUGGAGUCUGCAACUCGACUCCAUGAAGUCGGAAUCGCUAGUAAUCG